CCUACGGGUGGCUGCAGUAAGGAAUAUUGGUCAAUGGACGAAAGUCUGAACCAGCCAUGCCGCGUGGAGGAUGAAGGUCCUCUGGAUUGUAAACUUCUUUUAUAUGGGACGAAAAAAGGCCUUUCCAGGUCGUCUGACGGUACCAUAUGAAUAAGCACCGGCUAACUCCGUGCCAGCAGCCGCGGUCAUACGGAGGGUGCAAGCGUUAUCCGGAUACAGGGUGUUUAGGGGGUGCGUUGAGUCAGUGGUGAAAUCCCCGAGCUUAACUUGGGAACUGCCAUUGAUACUAUCAGUCUUGAAUACCGGGGAGGUCAGCGGAAUAUGUCAUGUAGCGGUGAAAUGCUUAGAUAUGACAUAGAACACCAAUUGCGAAGGCAGCUGGCUACACGAGUAUUGACACUGAGGCACGAAAGCGUGGGGAUCAAACAGGAUUAGAUACCCCUGUAGUC
RNAcentral lists this ribosomal RNA (449 nucleotides) under uncultured bacterium. RNAcentral describes it as "partial 16S ribosomal RNA". It matches the Rfam family "Bacterial small subunit ribosomal RNA", at positions 338 to 795 of the family's 1533-position model. The record is from RNAcentral.